Molecule: ribosomal RNA, 449 nt
Filed under: uncultured bacterium
Lineage: Bacteria
Description: partial 16S ribosomal RNA
Rfam family: Bacterial small subunit ribosomal RNA
Source: RNAcentral
CCUACGGGGGGCUGCAGUGAGGAAUUUUGCGCAAUGGCCGCAAGGCUGACGCAGCAACGCCGCGUGGGUGAUGAAGGCCUUCGGGUCGUAAAGCCCUGUCAGGUGGGAAGAAAGGUUUCAAGGAGCAACACUUGGGAUUUGACGGUACCACCAGAGGAAGCACCGGCGAACUCCGUGCCAGCAGCCGCGGUAAUACGGAGGGUGCGAGCGUUAUUCGGAAUCGUGUGGCGGAAAGAGCGUGUAGGCGGGGACAGCCCUGGGCUUAACCUGGGAAGUGCAUUGGAAACUGUUUUUCUUGAGUACUGGAGAGGAAGGGGGAAUUCCCGGUGUAGAGGUGAAAUUCGUAGAGAUCGGGAGGAAUACCAGUGGCGUAGGCGCCCUUCUGGACGGUAACUGACGCUGAGACGCGAAAGCGUGGGGAGCAAACAGGAUUAGAUACCCGUGUAGUC